UACGAAGGGGGCUAGCGUUGCUCGGAAUCACUGGGCGUAAAGCGCACGUAGGCGGAUUGUUAAGUCAGGGGUGAAAUCCUGGAGCUCAACUCCAGAACUGCCUUUGAUACUGGCGAUCUCGAGUCCGGGAGAGGUGAGUGGAAUUGCGAGUGUAGAGGUGAAAUUCGUAGAUAUUCGCAAGAACACCAGUGGCGAAGGCGGCUCACUGGCCCGGUACUGACGCUGAGGUGCGAAAGCGUGGGGAGCAGACAGG
Molecule: ribosomal RNA, 253 nt
Filed under: uncultured bacterium
Lineage: Bacteria
Description: partial 16S ribosomal RNA
Rfam family: Bacterial small subunit ribosomal RNA
Source: RNAcentral